Molecule: ribosomal RNA, 498 nt
Filed under: uncultured bacterium
Lineage: Bacteria
Description: bacterial SSU rRNA
Rfam family: Bacterial small subunit ribosomal RNA
Source: RNAcentral
AACGAACGCUGGCGGCGCGCCUAAUACAUGCAAGUCGAGCGAGAAGACGUAGCAAUACGUUUGUAAAGCGGCGAACGGGUGAGGAAUACAUGGGUAACCUACCCUCGAGUGGGGAAUAACUAGCCGAAAGGUUAGCUAAUACCGCGUACGCUCCUUGGACUUCGGUUCAGGGAGGAAAGCGAUACCGUGGGUAUCGCGCUCUUGGAUGGGCUCAUGUCCUAUCAGCUUGUUGGUGAGGAACGGCUCACCAAGGCUUCGACGGGUAGCUGGUCUGAGAGGACGAUCAGCCACACUGGCACUGCGACACGGGCCAGACUCCUACGGGAGGCAGCAGUAAGGAAUAUUGCGCAAUGGGCGAAAGCCUGACGCAGCGACGCCGCGUGGGGGAUGAAGGUCUUCGGAUUGUAAACCCCUUUCGGGAGGGAAGAUGGAACGAGCAAUCGUUCGGACGGUACCUCCAGAAGCAGCCACGGCUAACUUCGUGCCAGCAGCCGCAGU